CCUACGGGAGGUAGCAGUGAGGAAUAUUGGUCAAUGGACGCAAGUCUGAACCAGCCAUGCCGCGUGCAGGAUGACGGCUCUAUGAGUUGUAAACUUCUUUUGUACGGGGGUAAACGCAGGUACGCGUAUCUGUCUGAAAGUAUCGUACGAAUAAGGAUCGGCUAACUCCGUGCCAGCAGCCGCGGUAAUACGGAGGAUUCAAGCGUUAUCCGGAUUUAUUGGGUUUAAAGGGUGCGUAGGCGGUCGGAUAAGUUAGAGGUGAAAUCUUGAGGCUCAACUUCGGAAUUGCCAUUGAUACUGGCAGGCUAGAGAGUAGUUGAGGUAGGCGGAAUGCAUGGUGUAGCGGUGAAAUGCUUAGAGAUCAUACAGAACACCGAUUGCGAAGGCAGCUUACCAAGCUACUACUGACGUUGAGGCACGAAAGUGUGGGUAGCAAACAGGAUUAGAUACCCCAGUAGUC
This 460-nucleotide ribosomal RNA is filed under the name uncultured bacterium. RNAcentral's name for it is "partial 16S ribosomal RNA". It matches the Rfam family "Bacterial small subunit ribosomal RNA", at positions 338 to 795 of the family's 1533-position model. The record is from RNAcentral.